AGAGUUUGAUCAUGGCUCAGAACGAACGCUGGCGGCGUGCUUAACACAUGCAAGUCGCACGAGAAAGUUCCCUUCGGGGGACGAGUAAAGUGGCGCACGGGUCAGUAACACGUGGGUAAUCUGCCCUUGGGCGAGGCACAACCUGUCGAAAGACGGGCUAAUACCUCGUAAGACCACAGGAUCUUCGGAUCCCGAGGUAAAAGAUGGCUUCGGCUAUCACCUGAGGAUGAGCCCGCGCACCAUUAGCUUGUUGGUGAGGUAAUGGCUCACCAAGGCCGAGAUGGUUAGCUGGUCUGAGAGGACGACCAGCGACACUGGAACUGAGAUACGGUCCAGACUCCUACGGGAGGCAGCAGUGAGGAAUAUUGGACAAUGGGCGAAAGCCUGAUCCAGCGACGCCGCGUGAGUGAUGAAGGCCUUCGGGUCGUAAAGCUCUGUCGGAUGGGAAGAAACGGGAUGACCUAAUACGUCAUUUCUUGACGGUACCAUCAAAGGAAGCACCGGCUAACUCUGUGCCAGCAGCCGCGGUAAGACAGAGGGUGCAAGCGUUGUUCGGAAUCACUGGGCGUAAAGGGCGUGUAGGCGGUAGCGUGUGUCCGAUGUGAAAGCCCCCGGCUCAACUGGGGAAGUGCACCGGAAACUACGUUACUCGAGUACGAGAGAGGGUGGCGGAAUUCCCAGUGUAGAGGUGAAAUUCGUAGAUACUGGGAGGAACACCUGAGGCGAAGGC
RNAcentral lists this ribosomal RNA (730 nucleotides) under uncultured bacterium. Its description in RNAcentral is "bacterial SSU rRNA". It matches the Rfam family "Bacterial small subunit ribosomal RNA", at positions 8 to 722 of the family's 1533-position model. The record is from RNAcentral.